AUCCAGAUGACGAGUCCCAAAUAGAACGAAACGAAAGUUCUGGAU
Molecule: non-coding RNA, 45 nt
Organism: Schistosoma rodhaini
Lineage: Eukaryota; Metazoa; Platyhelminthes; Trematoda; Strigeidida; Schistosomatidae
Source: Rfam